This 2585-nucleotide ribosomal RNA is filed under the name Staphylococcus aureus. RNAcentral's name for it is "bacterial LSU rRNA". It matches the Rfam family "Bacterial large subunit ribosomal RNA", at positions 3 to 2586 of the family's 2925-position model. Lineage: Bacteria; Bacillati; Bacillota; Bacilli; Caryophanales; Staphylococcaceae. The record is from RNAcentral.
UUAAGUUAUUAAGGGCGCACGGUGGAUGCCUUGGCACUAGAAGCCGAUGAAGGACGUUACUAACGACGAUAUGCUUUGGGGAGCUGUAAGUAAGCUUUGAUCCAGAGAUUUCCGAAUGGGGAAACCCAGCAUGAGUUAUGUCAUGUUAUCGAUAUGUGAAUACAUAGCAUAUCAGAAGGCACACCCGGAGAACUGAAACAUCUUAGUACCCGGAGGAAGAGAAAGAAAAUUCGAUUCCCUUAGUAGCGGCGAGCGAAACGGGAAGAGCCCAAACCAACAAGCUUGCUUGUUGGGGUUGUAGGACACUCUAUACGGAGUUACAAAGGACGACAUUAGACGAAUCAUCUGGAAAGAUGAAUCAAAGAAGGUAAUAAUCCUGUAGUCGAAAAUGUUGUCUCUCUUGAGUGGAUCCUGAGUACGACGGAGCACGUGAAAUUCCGUCGGAAUCUGGGAGGACCAUCUCCUAAGGCUAAAUACUCUCUAGUGACCGAUAGUGAACCAGUACCGUGAGGGAAAGGUGAAAAGCACCCCGGAAGGGGAGUGAAAUAGAACCUGAAACCGUGUGCUUACAAGUAGUCAGAGCCCGUUAAUGGGUGAUGGCGUGCCUUUUGUAGAAUGAACCGGCGAGUUACGAUUUGAUGCAAGGUUAAGCAGUAAAUGUGGAGCCGUAGCGAAAGCGAGUCUGAAUAGGGCGUUUAGUAUUUGGUCGUAGACCCGAAACCAGGUGAUCUACCCUUGGUCAGGUUGAAGUUCAGGUAACACUGAAUGGAGGACCGAACCGACUUACGUUGAAAAGUGAGCGGAUGAACUGAGGGUAGCGGAGAAAUUCCAAUCGAACCUGGAGAUAGCUGGUUCUCUCCGAAAUAGCUUUAGGGCUAGCCUCAAGUGAUGAUUAUUGGAGGUAGAGCACUGUUUGGACGAGGGGCCCCUCUCGGGUUACCGAAUUCAGACAAACUCCGAAUGCCAAUUAAUUUAACUUGGGAGUCAGAACAUGGGUGAUAAGGUCCGUGUUCGAAAGGGAAACAGCCCAGACCACCAGCUAAGGUCCCAAAAUAUAUGUUAAGUGGAAAAGGAUGUGGCGUUGCCCAGACAACUAGGAUGUUGGCUUAGAAGCAGCCAUCAUUUAAAGAGUGCGUAAUAGCUCACUAGUCGAGUGACACUGCGCCGAAAAUGUACCGGGGCUAAACAUAUUACCGAAGCUGUGGAUUGUCCUUUGGACAAUGGUAGGAGAGCGUUCUAAGGGCGUUGAAGCAUGAUCGUAAGGACAUGUGGAGCGCUUAGAAGUGAGAAUGCCGGUGUGAGUAGCGAAAGACGGGUGAGAAUCCCGUCCACCGAUUGACUAAGGUUUCCAGAGGAAGGCUCGUCCGCUCUGGGUUAGUCGGGUCCUAAGCUGAGGCCGACAGGCGUAGGCGAUGGAUAACAGGUUGAUAUUCCUGUACCACCUAUAAUCGUUUUAAUCGAUGGGGGGACGCAGUAGGAUAGGCGAAGCGUGCGAUUGGAUUGCACGUCUAAGCAGUAAGGCUGAGUAUUAGGCAAAUCCGGUACUCGUUAAGGCUGAGCUGUGAUGGGGAGAAGACAUUGUGUCUUCGAGUCGUUGAUUUCACACUGCCGAGAAAAGCCUCUAGAUAGAAAAUAGGUGCCCGUACCGCAAACCGACACAGGUAGUCAAGAUGAGAAUUCUAAGGUGAGCGAGCGAACUCUCGUUAAGGAACUCGGCAAAAUGACCCCGUAACUUCGGGAGAAGGGGUGCUCUUUAGGGUUAACGCCCAGAAGAGCCGCAGUGAAUAGGCCCAAGCGACUGUUUAUCAAAAACACAGGUCUCUGCUAAACCGUAAGGUGAUGUAUAGGGGCUGACGCCUGCCCGGUGCUGGAAGGUUAAGAGGAGUGGUUAGCUUCUGCGAAGCUACGAAUCGAAGCCCCAGUAAACGGCGGCCGUAACUAUAACGGUCCUAAGGUAGCGAAAUUCCUUGUCGGGUAAGUUCCGACCCGCACGAAAGGCGUAACGAUUUGGGCACUGUCUCAACGAGAGACUCGGUGAAAUCAUAGUACCUGUGAAGAUGCAGGUUACCCGCGACAGGACGGAAAGACCCCGUGGAGCUUUACUGUAGCCUGAUAUUGAAAUUCGGCACAGCUUGUACAGGAUAGGUAGGAGCCUUUGAAACGUGAGCGCUAGCUUACGUGGAGGCGCUGGUGGGAUACUACCCUAGCUGUGUUGGCUUUCUAACCCGCACCACUUAUCGUGGUGGGAGACAGUGUCAGGCGGGCAGUUUGACUGGGGCGGUCGCCUCCUAAAAGGUAACGGAGGCGCUCAAAGGUUCCCUCAGAAUGGUUGGAAAUCAUUCAUAGAGUGUAAAGGCAUAAGGGAGCUUGACUGCGAGACCUACAAGUCGAGCAGGGUCGAAAGACGGACUUAGUGAUCCGGUGGUUCCGCAUGGAAGGGCCAUCGCUCAACGGAUAAAAGCUACCCCGGGGAUAACAGGCUUAUCUCCCCCAAGAGUUCACAUCGACGGGGAGGUUUGGCACCUCGAUGUCGGCUCAUCGCAUCCUGGGGCUGUAGUCGGUCCCAAGGGUUGGGCUGUUCGCCC